This 496-nucleotide ribosomal RNA is filed under the name uncultured bacterium. RNAcentral describes it as "partial 16S ribosomal RNA". It matches the Rfam family "Bacterial small subunit ribosomal RNA", at positions 29 to 507 of the family's 1533-position model. The record is from RNAcentral.
AUGAACGCUGGCGGCGUGCCUAAUACAUGCAAGUCGAGCGAACAGACGAGGAGCUUGCUCCUCUGACGUUAGCGGCGGACGGGUGAGUAACACGUGGAUAACCUACCUAUAAGACUGGGAUAACUUCGGGAAACCGGAGCUAAUACCGGAUAAUAUAUUAAACCGCAUGGUUCAAUAGUGAAAGACGGUUUUGCUGUCACUUAUAGAUGGAUCCGCGCCGCAUUAGCUAGUUGGUAAGGUAACGGCUUACCAAGGCAACGAUGCGUAGCCGACCUGAGAGGGUGAUCGGCCACACUGGAACUGAGACACGGUCCAGACUCCUACGGGAGGCAGCAGUAGGGAAUCUUCCGCAAUGGGCGAAAGCCUGACGGAGCAACGCCGCGUGAGUGAUGAAGGUCUUCGGAUCGUAAAACUCUGUUAUUAGGGAAGAACAAAUGUGUAAGUAACUAUGCACGUCUUGACGGUACCUAAUCAGAAAGCCACGGCUAACUACGUG